GACGAACGCUGGCGGCGUGCUUAACACAUGCAAGUCGAACGGAAAGGCCCUGCUUUUGUGGGGUGCUCGAGUGGCGAACGGGUGAGUAACACGUGAGUAACCUGCCCUUGACUUUGGGAUAACUUCAGGAAACUGGGGCUAAUACCGGAUAGGAGCUCCUGCUGCAUGGUGGGGGUUGGAAAGUUUCGGCGGUUGGGGAUGGACUCGCGGCUUAUCAGCUUGUUGGUGGGGUAGUGGCUUACCAAGGCUUUGACGGGUAGGCGGCCUGAGAGGGUGACCGGCCCCAUUGGGCCUGAGAUACGGACCAGACUCGUACGGGAGGCAGCAGUGGCGAGUAUUGCCCAAUGGGCGGAAGCCUGAGGAAGCAACGCCGCGUGCGGGAUGACGGCCUUCGGGUUGUAAAACGCUUCCGCCUGUGACGAAGCGUGAGUGACGGUAAUGGGUAAAGAAGCACCGGCUAACUACGUG
RNAcentral lists this ribosomal RNA (468 nucleotides) under uncultured bacterium. Its description in RNAcentral is "partial 16S ribosomal RNA". It matches the Rfam family "Bacterial small subunit ribosomal RNA", at positions 28 to 507 of the family's 1533-position model. The record is from RNAcentral.